Molecule: ribosomal RNA, 583 nt
Filed under: uncultured bacterium
Lineage: Bacteria
Description: partial 16S ribosomal RNA
Rfam family: Bacterial small subunit ribosomal RNA
Source: RNAcentral
UGGGGAAUUUUGGACAAUGGGCGAAAGCCUGAUCCAGCAAUGCCGCGUGUGUGAAGAAGGCCUCGGGUUGUAAAGCACUUUUGUCCGGAAAGAAAUCCUUGGCUCUAAUACAGUCGGGGGAUGACGGUACCGGAAGAAUAAGCACCGGCUAACUACGUGCCAGCAGCCGCGGUAAUACGUAGGGUGCAAGCGUUAAUCGGAAUUACUGGGCGUAAAGCGUGCGCAGGCGGUUUGCUAAGACCGAUGUGAAAUCCCCGGGCUCAACCUGGGAACUGCAUUGGUGACUGGCAGGCUAGAGUAUGGCAGAGGGGGGUAGAAUUCCACGUGUAGCAGUGAAAUGCGUAGAGAUGUGGAGGAAUACCGAUGGCGAAGGCAGCCCCCUGGGCCAAUACUGACGCUCAUGCACGAAAGCGUGGGGAGCAAACAGGAUUAGAUACCCUGGUAGUCCACGCCCUAAACGAUGUCAACUAGUUGUUGGGGAUUCAUUUCCUUAGUAACGUAGCUAACGCGUGAAGUUGACCGCCUGGGGAGUACGGUCGCAAGAUUAAAACUCAAGGAAUUGACGGGGUCAUAGCUGUUUCCU